GUUGCUGCUGGGCUCUUCCCAGCUCAGACGCAGCAAAAGAGCCUGGAACCUGGGUCCUAGUUUGUACCUAGACUAUGAGGCAGGUGGCAAGAGUGAUCGUGCUCCUAAUCCUGGGUACUCUGAGCCUUGCUAAGACCACCCAGCCCAUCGCCAUGGAAUCAUAUGAAGGACAAGAAGUGAACAUACCCUGUAGCCACACAGACAUUGCUACAAAUGAUUAUAUCUUCUGGUACCAACAGUUCCCCAACCAGGGACCACGAUUUAUUAUUCAAGGAUAUAAGACAAAUGUGACAAAUGAAGUGGCAUUUCUGUUUAUCCCUGCCGACAGAAAGUCCAGCACCCUGAGCCUGCCCCGGGUGGCCCUGAGUGACACUGCUGUGUACUACUGCAUCCUGGCUGACACACAGUGA
Propithecus coquereli (Coquerel's sifaka) is the source of this 410-nucleotide non-coding RNA. The record is from the annotation of a RefSeq genome assembly. NCBI's taxonomy places the organism in Eukaryota, Metazoa, Chordata, Mammalia, Primates, Indriidae.